Molecule: small nucleolar RNA, 107 nt
Organism: Dioscorea cayenensis subsp. rotundata (Guinea yam)
Lineage: Eukaryota; Viridiplantae; Streptophyta; Magnoliopsida; Dioscoreales; Dioscoreaceae
Source: RefSeq, a predicted model, not a curated record
AACCCAUGUUGAGGACAUUUCCGCAGGAGCUCCUUGAACAUCUCCCACAUCUCAAAUAGAGACUCUAAUUCCGUUUGCACAAAGAAGGGUAUUUUAUUCCUAAGAUU